AUUGAACGCUGGCGGCAUGCCUUACACAUGCAAGUCGAACGGCAGCACGGGUGCUUGCACCUGGUGGCGAGUGGCGAACGGGUGAGUAAUACAUCGGAACGUACCUUAUCGUGGGGGAUAACGCAGCGAAAGUUGCGCUAAUACCGCAUAAGCCCUGAGGGGGAAAGCGGGGGACCGUAAGGCCUCGCGCGUUUAGAGCGGCCGAUGUCUGAUUAGCUUGUUGGUGAGGUAAAAGCUCACCAAGGCGAUGAUCAGUAGCUGGUCUGAGAGGACGAUCAGCCACACUGGGACUGAGACACGGCCCAGACUCCUACGGGAGGCAGCAGUGGGGAAUUUUGGACAAGGGGGGAAACCCUGAUCCAGCCAUGCCGCGUGAGUGAUGAAGGCCUUAGGGUUGUAAAGCUCUUUUACCCGGGAAGAAACACCGGCUCUAACACAGUCCGGGAAUGACGGUACCUGAAGAAUAAGCACCGGCUAACUACGUGCCAGCCACCGCCGUAA
Molecule: ribosomal RNA, 501 nt
Filed under: uncultured bacterium
Lineage: Bacteria
Description: partial 16S ribosomal RNA
Rfam family: Bacterial small subunit ribosomal RNA
Source: RNAcentral